RNAcentral lists this ribosomal RNA (504 nucleotides) under uncultured bacterium. RNAcentral describes it as "partial 16S ribosomal RNA". It matches the Rfam family "Bacterial small subunit ribosomal RNA", at positions 29 to 523 of the family's 1533-position model. The record is from RNAcentral.
AUUGAACGCUGGCGGCAGGCCUAACACAUGCAAGUCGAACGGUAGCACAGAGAGCUUGCUCUCGGGUGGCGAGUGGCGGACGGGUGAGUAACGUCUGGGAAACUGCCCGAUGGAGGGGGAUAACUACUGGAAACGGUAGCUAAUACCGCAUAACGUCGCAAGACCAAAGUGGGGGACCUUCGGGCCUCACACCAUCGGAUGUGCCCAGAUGGGAUUAGCUAGUAGGUGGGGUAAUGGCUCACCUAGGCGACGAUCCCUAGCUGGUCUGAGAGGAUGACAAGCCACACGGGGACGGAGACCCGGUCCAGACUCCUACGGGAGGCAGCAGUGGGGAAUAUUGCACAAUGGGCGCAAGCCUGAUGCAGCCAUGCCGCGUGUAUGAAGAAGGCCUUCGGGUUGUAAAGUACUUUCAGCGGGGAGGAAGGCGGUGAAGUUAAUAGCUUCACCGAUUGACGUUACCCGCAGAAGAAGCACCGGCUAACUCCGUGCCAGCCGCCGCAGUAA